Molecule: long non-coding RNA, 1296 nt
Organism: Humulus lupulus (European hop)
Lineage: Eukaryota; Viridiplantae; Streptophyta; Magnoliopsida; Rosales; Cannabaceae
Exons: 3
Source: RefSeq, a predicted model, not a curated record
CACUAUCCUAAAUGAAUCCCUAGAAUCCCCUUCUUUCUCCUCUUUCUUCUUCCCAGCCCGAUACUCUUUCUUUUCUUCUCUAGCAUUUCAGUCGGCCAGACCAGAUGAGCCAUCUCCGGCCACCACCCAAUGACACGCACCCCACCACGAGCUUCCUUGGCCCCCGAAACCGCCAACCCGUGAAGCUCGCCUCCCCACUCGCCGGCCUCCGUCGCGACUGGCUCCUCAAAGUUCCGUCGCCGCUGUGAGUUUGGAGGAUUUUUCUGGCCUCCACCGUGGACGAUGAAGGCUCCUGCUGGCGAACCCACUUUGCCGGUUCUCUACCCUUCGUCGCUAUCAGUUAAAACUGUUUUGAGGGAUCAGAAGCAGAAGACUUGAAUGGGUGGCCCUAAGCAAUGUCAAGUUUGCAAUGAAGCAGUUUCCAAGUACAAGUGUCCCUCUUGUCUUGUCCCUUAUUGUUCACUUAUCUGCUUCAAGAAACACAAAGGUAUGCUACUUUGACUUUUGACUCUGGUUUACCCAUUAUGAUCUGGUUUAAUAUUUGGAAUGCUGCAUAUGUGAAAUUAUGAUCACAUAAAUUGAUAGUUGGUCAUGUAAUUAAUAUUAGUAUCUAAUAUGUGAUAUUAGAUUUAUAUAGAAUUUCAUUAUAUAUUUUCAAGACGUAAUUACAACAGUAAGAUAAUUUUUUCAUUAUCUGUUCAUAGUUAUAUUUUUGGUUCAGAUGAUAAGCUUUUUAAAUUGACAAUAUUGCUUGGCAUUUCUGUAAUGUAUAUAUUCAUCAUAAUUGGAUAGGAUCAAGGAGGAUGAUAAGAUGAUUCAAGCUGAGGGAGUGGAGUCCCUUUCAGAAAAAGAGCUUAUUUAAGCCUGUCAAGAACGAGGCAUACUUGGAACACUUUCAGUAGAGGAAAUGCGAGAAGAGGUUUGAGCUUAAUCUAGACUUCUUUAGUUUGUUCAUUGAUUGAAGAUAGACUGAAACAUGUCUAUUAAAUUUAUCACUUAUGGUUCAUGAAUACUAUAUUUUCAUGGUGAUUUCACCUCAUUUGUUACUGUCAGGGAUGUCAAUAAGCCAAUGUAAGCUUUGACUAGCUGCAACCUCUUCUAAACAGCCCAUAGUUAUAUCAUCAGCUUACGUUUGUUUGAUGUUUGAAGUAUACUAUAAAGAACAAUAUACAUCAUAUCUUAUUAUAUAAUGCUGAUAUGGAUCUAUUUUAGUUUUAUCUUUUUUGAAACUCUAACUUCAUGUAAAAGAUCAAUAGCUAAUAAAUUCUAAACAGGCUUUUUUGGAAGCUUUUAUGA